UGUUCGGGUUGUCAUGCCAAUGGCACUGCCCGGUAGCUAAAUGCGGAAGAGAUAAGUGCUGAAAGCAUCUAAGCACGAAACUUGCCCCGAGAUGAGUUCUCCCUGACCCUUUAAGGUCCUGAAGGAACGUUGAAGACGACGACGUUGAUAGGCCGGGUGUGUAAGCGCAGCGAUGCGUUGAGCUAACCGGUACUAAUGAACCGUGAGGCUUAACCUU
RNAcentral lists this ribosomal RNA (217 nucleotides) under Shigella flexneri. RNAcentral's name for it is "partial 23S ribosomal RNA". It matches the Rfam family "Bacterial large subunit ribosomal RNA", at positions 2713 to 2925 of the family's 2925-position model. The record is from RNAcentral. Lineage: Bacteria; Pseudomonadati; Pseudomonadota; Gammaproteobacteria; Enterobacterales; Enterobacteriaceae.